This 579-nucleotide long non-coding RNA is filed under the name Cricetulus griseus (Chinese hamster). RNAcentral's name for it is "lncRNA (ENSCGRG00015029961.1)". Lineage: Eukaryota; Metazoa; Chordata; Mammalia; Rodentia; Cricetidae. The record is from RNAcentral.
AGCUCCUGGUACAUUAAACGGGCCACUGCGGUUCCAUAUUGAAAUGCAACUACCACCUGAAACAUGACUUCUUGAAGGAAACAUGGAUCCAACUCUGAUCACAUAGCAUGGAAAAUGAUAAUGCUGACUCAUGGGUGAGAAGACCAGAAAGGGGACCAGAGUUGGGACACAACCCAGUCAAGGAAUGCUCUGUCUUAGAGAACAAGCUUCCAUGCUACUGUUGCCCUGUGGAAAGAUCUAACCAGGAGGAACCCGGGAGUCUCGAGCCCACAGCAACUUUGUUGCCAGCUUUCUGAAGAUAAACAACUGAAAACAAGGAAUGAAUCCGAUGGGAUCCUGGUUCUGGACUUUCAGUUCAUGGUGCAUUGGUCUCAUUGGAAUGGACACUAUGGAGGGAGCACAGGGUAGAACAGGCUCACCUCGGCUGAGAAAGAGGUCAGCAGCUUGUGCUUAUCUGGAAGCUAUCUGUCUUGUAGUCAUUUAGCCACAGUGGUGGAUCCAACUCGGCAAGCGAGAUUUAUGGUGAGCCAACUGCCUUGGCUGCUCCGACUGUGUGGAGAAGCAUUUCCUGACCCUGAG